RNAcentral lists this small RNA (219 nucleotides) under Drosophila mojavensis. RNAcentral's name for it is "GI26065". Lineage: Eukaryota; Metazoa; Arthropoda; Insecta; Diptera; Drosophilidae. The record is from RNAcentral.
CAGAAGUGAAAGACAGGCCUUGAUCUCGCCCGUGCUGUAAGGAACCGUAUUGAAUUACACAGCAUAUUGAUGAAGAUGUAGGAAAAACUUACCUGGAUAUGGUCACCAGGGUGUUAUGCAUGAAACCAAUUCCCUUAACACGAUUGUCGUGCAUCUUUAUCAUCUUGGACUGUGGAAAGAACAAAGGGGAAUCAUCAUAUGUGGCAUAGCCAUGCAAUG